RNAcentral lists this unclassified non-coding RNA (336 nucleotides) under uncultured fungus. Its description in RNAcentral is "partial contains 5.8S ribosomal RNA and internal transcribed spacer 2". The stretch from base 1 to 133 matches the Rfam family "5.8S ribosomal RNA", at positions 22 to 154 of the family's 154-position model. The record is from RNAcentral. Lineage: Eukaryota; Fungi.
UGGUUCUGGCAUCGAUGAAGAACGCAGCGAAAUGCGAUAAGUAAUGUGAAUUGCAGAAUUCAGUGAAUCAUCGAAUCUUUGAACGCAUAUUGCGCCCCUUGGUAUUCCGAAGGGCAUGCCUGUUCGAGCGUCAUUAUCAACCAUCAAGCCCGGCUUGUUAUUGGGUCUGAAUCGCUUUGGCGAUUGGCCCGAAAGAUAAUGGCGGUGUCCAAAUAGACCCCAGGUGCAGCGAGCUUUAUAAGCAUACACUGAGGUGGUCGUUUGGGCCCGGCCUAAAUCACUAUUUCGAUAGUUUUUCUUAAGGUUGACCUCGGAUCAGGUAGGAUUACCCGCUGA